GGAAAUACAGAGGGUGAGGGCAAUUUGCUGUACCUAGGCAUGAUGAAAAACAGGACACAAAAUGUUAAAUAUUUUAUGUUUUGUUUUGGUAGGGAAACUUUGUGAUCCUUCAAGCCCUGCUCUUUUCCCAGAUAUGAUUGGUAUUAGAAAAUAGAAAAAGUAGCCUAGUUAAUGGCACUUAUCAGGCUUUAAUCAUCAUGCUGGACAUACUUGUAGACAGGAUUAUUUUAAGCAAAGCAUCUGGAUAGAAUGUGUCUUUGUGUGUAUCUAUUCCAUCUUGGAUUUAUCCUGGCUGUGGGAUUUUGAGAUUCUGCAAUUGCUUUUGAAGAUGGUUGUUUCAUGUGGGACACUUCUUGACAAUUUCGGAGGUCCAAGUAUCCCUAUUUUGGAGAGAAAGUCCUUGUUGGACCUAAAUCCCCCUGACCUUCUUUUCUUUCCUAAUUUUCUACUUUUCUUUUG
Molecule: non-coding RNA, 459 nt
Organism: Pelobates cultripes (western spadefoot toad)
Lineage: Eukaryota; Metazoa; Chordata; Amphibia; Anura; Pelobatidae
Source: the annotation of a GenBank genome assembly